UACGUAGGGUGCGAGCGUUGUCCGGAAUUACUGGGCGUAAAGAGCUCGUAGGUGGUUUGUCGCGUUGUUCGUGAAAACUCACAGCUCAACUGUGGGCGUGCGGGCGAUACGGGCAGACUGGAGUACUGCAGGGGAGACUGGAAUUCCUGGUGUAGCGGUGGAAUGCGCAGAUAUCGGGAGGAACACCAGUGGCGAAGGCGGCUCUCUGGGCCUUUCCUGACGCUGAGGAGCGAAAGCGUGGGGAGCGAACAGG
RNAcentral lists this ribosomal RNA (253 nucleotides) under uncultured bacterium. RNAcentral describes it as "partial 16S ribosomal RNA". It matches the Rfam family "Bacterial small subunit ribosomal RNA", at positions 524 to 776 of the family's 1533-position model. The record is from RNAcentral.